Molecule: long non-coding RNA, 540 nt
Filed under: Elaeis guineensis (African oil palm)
Lineage: Eukaryota; Viridiplantae; Streptophyta; Magnoliopsida; Arecales; Arecaceae
Description: long non-coding RNA (EGUI_LNC058217)
Source: RNAcentral
GAGACCUGCAAGGAAAGUCUAAAUCAGAGUUGGGAGUGCUCCGGCAAGACACUCCGACACUCAAGUCAGUACUCUGCUUCAACAGAAAUGGAGUGCUCGAGAAUUUUAGCAGAAUUUCGAGAUAGAAUUUAGAGCUUAGAGAAGAAUGUAUCUGGGGGUCCCUUUUUAUAGACGGAGAGCAUAACUGAUUGAUAGCGACGUCUGUAACCAUCUGGUAGUAGGCCGUUCAGAGCCACACGGAGUUUGUUACAGAGAGUAGUGGCAUCAGGGGUCGUUCAGGGCCACGUGGAGUUUGUUAUGGAGAGUGGAGUGGUGUCCGUUGUCAUAACUUGUCAGAGAGUGGUAGAGCCCAGAGAGUGGAGUGGUGUCUGUUGUCGCGACUUGCCAGAAAGUGGUGGAGUCACGUGGAAUCCAUUGUAGAGAGUGGAGUAGGGUAGUGGCCAUUGUCGUGACUUGCCAGAGAGUUCGGAUCUGUCAGUUGGAGCUCAGCUGGGAUGUCUGUUGGAGCGAAACGGCUCUCUAUCCCAUCGAUCUAGGAGA